Molecule: ribosomal RNA, 429 nt
Filed under: Gemmatimonadota bacterium
Lineage: Bacteria; Pseudomonadati; Gemmatimonadota
Description: Gemmatimonadetes bacterium partial 16S ribosomal RNA
Rfam family: Bacterial small subunit ribosomal RNA
Source: RNAcentral
UAGGGAAUCUUCGGCAAUGGACGAAAGUCUGACCGAGCAACGCCGCGUGAGUGAAGAAGGUUUUCGGAUCGUAAAACUCUGUUGUUAGAGAAGAACAAGGACGUUAGUAACUGAACGUCCCCUGACGGUAUCUAACCAGAAAGCCACGGCUAACUACGUGCCAGCAGCCGCGGUAAUACGUAGGUGGCAAACGUUGUCCGGAUUUAUUGGGCGUAAAGCGAGCGCAGGCGGUUUCUUAAGUCUGAUGUGAAAGCCCCCGGCUCAACCGGGGAGGGUCAUUGGAAACUGGGAGACUUGAGUGCAGAAGAGGAGAGUGGAAUUCCAUGUGUAGCGGUGAAAUGCGUAGAUAUAUGUAGGAACACCAGUGGCGAAGGCGGCUCUCUGGUCUGUAACUGACGCUGAGGCUCGAAAGCGUGGGGAGCAAACAGG